This 253-nucleotide ribosomal RNA is filed under the name uncultured bacterium. RNAcentral describes it as "partial 16S ribosomal RNA". It matches the Rfam family "Bacterial small subunit ribosomal RNA", at positions 524 to 776 of the family's 1533-position model. The record is from RNAcentral.
UACGUAGGGUGCGAGCGUUGUCCGGAAUUAUUGGGCGUAAAGAGCUUGUAGGCGGUCUGUCGCGUCUGCUGUGAAAAUCCGGGGCUCAACCCCGGACGUGCAGUGGGUACGGGCAGACUAGAGUGUGGUAGGGGAGACUGGAAUUCCUGGUGUAGCGGUGAAAUGCGCAGAUAUCAGGAGGAACACCGGUGGCGAAGGCGGGUCUCUGGGCCGAUACUGACGCUGAGGAGCGAAAGCGUGGGGAGCGAACAGG